This 456-nucleotide ribosomal RNA is filed under the name uncultured bacterium. Its description in RNAcentral is "bacterial SSU rRNA". It matches the Rfam family "Bacterial small subunit ribosomal RNA", at positions 339 to 786 of the family's 1533-position model. The record is from RNAcentral.
CUACGGAAGGCAGCAGUGGGGAAUAUUGCACAAUGGGCGAAAGCCUGAUGCAGCUAUGCCGCGUGUAUGAAGAAGGCCUUAGGGUUGUAAAGUACUUUCAUCGGGGAGGAAAAAACAAAACUAAUAAUUUUAUUUCUUGACGUUACCCGAAAAAGAAGCACCGGCUAACUCCGUGCCAGCAGCCGCGGUAAUACGGAGGGUGCUAGCGUUAAUCAGAAUUACUGGGCGUAAAGAGCACGUAGGUGGUUUUUUUAAGUCAGAUGUGAAAUCCCUGGGCUUAACCUGGAACUGCAUUUUGAAACUGAAAUACUAGAGUAUCGUAGAGGGAGGUAGAAUUCUAGGUGUAGCGGUGAAAUGCGUAGAUAUCUGGAGGAAUACCUGUGGCGAAAGCGGCCUCCUAAACGAAUACUGACACUGAGGUGCGAAAGCGUGGGGAGCAAACAGGGAUUAGAUACC